ACUGAGCUUUUACUAUUGGAGUUGCCCAUCCAUGCUGCUGUACUGUCUUUGUUAAAAGAUGAUGUUAACCAACAUCUAGGACCUCUACAACAGUCCACAAGGAAGAUUGGCUCACAAGACGGGCUCACAGGUCCCUGCUCCAGGCUACAGCAGCCAGUGGAAGCACAACACCAGUAUCACAAAGGCAAGCCCUUGGAAUGAGAUGAAGGAGUCAAAAUGACUGCUUUGCUUCUGCUGUAUGUGUCUUGGAAAUGGAUUUUUCUAUGAAGUCUGUGGAAGCUUGUUACCAUGUUAAAUGCCCAGCUUUCAUUAAAUCUACACCUGAAGGAAACAUGGAAGAGGUCUUUUCCAACUGCUGUAUGAAAUCUCUAACAGCUCAGGUGUAUGUGUUUACUAUGAAUUGAACUCAAAGCUCUUAAGUAAUGCUGUGUGUUUAGCCUGUUUACUCCCCAAAGUAGCUGGAGAAUUAUCUGUGCAUUUUCCACAUUGUUUUCAGUGUGCUGCUUUGUUUGAUGGUGGUUUAUUAAUGAUACUUGUGAUUUAUUACUGUCACUUUAUUAGAUUAUUUGCAAAUCGGUGACAAAGCACUAUGUGGAUCAUGCCUUGUUAGUCAUAAAAGCACUCAAGAAGCCAUGAAAAUCAGUUAAGCUUGAACCUAUUGAAUGAAGGAGCAUAGUGCUCUCUAUUGAUCAGGAGCCUUUAGAUAUGUAAUGAAUAGUAGUACCUUUGUAGCACUGUCAGAUAGUGUUUUCCUUUGGAUCUGAUAAAUUACACCCUUUUGUACCAGUGGCUUGAGAUUUGGCAUAAAACAUUCUUGUAUUAGUAUUUCUUUCAGCUCCAGUACUGGGGUGAUCUUACGUGACCGAGGCAGAUAAAUGUUAGAAGAAAAAUUGAUAUUUGCUCUCCCAACAUAGUGUUGACCAUUGAAUUAACACUGAUCUGACUUUCCUAUGUGUGCAGGAGACUGAGGGCUUGAUUACAAAUGAUUAGCAGAACAUUUUUACAGCCUGUGUGCAUGAUGCAUACAGUCUCUCUCAUAUGACUAUACAUAUGCAUGUUUGGAUUGUAGCUAAUUUCUUUAUAAAUACAGAUUUAUUUAUUAACUUCUUAUUGAAUGGGCAAAUAUAUAAGAUUAAUUUUGCUUUUUUUGUUGGUUUGAAAUGUACUGUGCUUCUAUUUACAAUAUCAGUACUUGAUUUCCUCCUUUCUUUGCAGCUUGUACAGUCUUUUACACAAAACCAGAGUUGGAUUGUAGGUAAAAUAUUACUAUUUUAAUUGGAUGAAGUUAAAGGCAUAGUUUGUGGUGCAGCAGGCCCCAAGUCUUAUCCCUAUAAUAGGGAAGGAUAUCCCUAUUAAUACUAAUAGCCAGAUGCUUUGGAGGUGUUCACUAGGAUAUCACUCUGGAUUAGGGUCACUUUCUCCUUCCAUCCACUCCUCUCCCUUGUAAGAAAAAUAGAAGAAUGAGCCCAGUAGCCUAUUUUAUUGACAGAACUAUAGACAAUAAUUUUUCAGCAGCUUUUUAAUUUUUGCUUUUUUUUUCCUAGAUGUUUUCUAGUGCUCCCUCAGCUUCCUUCAGUGUUUGCUCAGGUUAUCAGUGUUUCAAUUAAUUCCUCUCAAAUGAGCCUGAUUUAGGCAAUAGUAGCCAAAACCUCAGGGGACUCCUUGGCAGCACAAAAGAACAGUGACAGUUGCUUGAACAUCAGCAGUGCCUUGGUGUGUAAAAUAAGGAAAAGGUUCCAUUGAACUCAAUAUAAGAUUUCUUAGCUGUGUUUGCAGCUACAGGCAAAAUGCAGUCACACUUCCAUCUAACAAUCAAAGAAGAAGUAGUGUUUGGUAAAACCUUUGUCCCAGUGUUUUUCACCUUUCAUGCACGAAAAGAUUCCAUUUCCUAUUCCUCCUAAAGACAACAGCUAUGGAAGCUGAGAACUGAAUUUAAAAAAUACAAAUGUCAGUAGAAAUACAGUUUUCUCUGACUGGAAAGGCUUGGGUACAAGGAAAAGGAAGCUUCUAUGGAUCUUUACCUAAUGAUACUAUUUUUCAGUCUCUCUGGAACGUGUGUUUUGUGACUGACUGGAGACUCCAGUUGUAACAGUUCUCUUCCAGCCAAACACCUCAGUGGGUUAACCAGCAGUGUCAAUUUUGGCACACAAAUAAAAACUGUUUG
Parus major (Great Tit) is the source of this 2164-nucleotide long non-coding RNA. RefSeq lists it as uncharacterized. Lineage: Eukaryota; Metazoa; Chordata; Aves; Passeriformes; Paridae. The transcript has 4 exons. The record is from RefSeq and is a predicted model, not a curated record.